UACGUAGGGUCCGAGCGUUGUCCGGAAUUAUUGGGCGUAAAGGGCUCGUAGGCGGUUUGUCACGUCGGGCGUGAAAACUCAGGGCUCAACCCUGAGCGUGCGUUCGAUACGGGCAGACUAGAGGUAUGCAGGGGAGAACGGAAUUCCUGGUGUAGCGGUGGAAUGCGCAGAUAUCAGGAGGAACACCGGUGGCGAAGGCGGUUCUCUGGGACGGUACUGACGCUGAGACGCGAAAGCGUGGGGAGCGAACAGG
RNAcentral lists this ribosomal RNA (253 nucleotides) under uncultured bacterium. RNAcentral describes it as "partial 16S ribosomal RNA". It matches the Rfam family "Bacterial small subunit ribosomal RNA", at positions 524 to 776 of the family's 1533-position model. The record is from RNAcentral.